UACGUAGGGGGCUAGCGUUGUCCGGAAUCAUUGGGCGUAAAGCGCGUGUAGGCGGCCCGGUAAGUCCGCUGUGAAAGUCCAGGGCUCAACCCUGGGAUGCCGGUGGAUACUGUCGGGCUCGAGUCCGGAAGAGGCGAGUGGAAUUCCUGGUGUAGCGGUGAAAUGCGCAGAUAUCGGGAAGAACACCCGUGGCGAAGGCGGUUCUCUGGGACGGUACUGACGCUGAGACGCGAAAGCGUGGGGAGCGAACAGG
Molecule: ribosomal RNA, 253 nt
Filed under: uncultured bacterium
Lineage: Bacteria
Description: partial 16S ribosomal RNA
Rfam family: Bacterial small subunit ribosomal RNA
Source: RNAcentral